AUGGCACUGAUGGGUACACCAGUUUCACGAGUCAAUACCAUACAUAUUAGCUCGGCGAUUCUUGCUGCACAAAGUCCUUUUUUUCUCAAGCUUUUCUCAGAUGGCAUGAAAGAGUCUGACCAGAGACAUGCAACAGUUACAAUUGUUGAUUCAGAGGAAAAGGCCUUCAUUGAGCUUUUACGCUUUAUGUAUUGUGGAAAGUUGACACCAACAACCGAGCCCACUCUUCUGGUCGAUAUUUUGAUGGCUGCUGAUAAAUUUGAGGUUGUAUCUUGCAUGAAGCUCUGCGCUCAGCGGCUCAUAGACCAGCCUAUGACGCCAGAGUCGGCAGUGAGGUGCCUAGAUCUCCCACGUUCCAUCUCAAUGGCAUCUGCCGUCAAAGAGGCAGCCAAGACAUUCCUUGCUGAAAGGUACAAGGAAUUCCUGUCGACAAAGUUCCAAGAUGAACUGAUGAGGGUCCCUCUCGCUGGGAUUCUGGCCAUCUUAUCAAGGAAUCGCCUCGGGAUGGAAUCUGAAGGACCCAUCUACGAUUUCCUGCUCAGGUGGGCCUGUUUGCAGUACCCAAAUUCAGAAGAGAGACACCAGAUCUUGAGUUCGCGGUUACUUCCACUGGUGCCACGAGCUCUCAGUAUGACCGAUGCCGUACUAAUUGAUCACCCGUCUUGUAUAAUCAACUUCACCAUAAAGCGCGAGAAGUGCUUGGGGCUCUUUGUGUCAGGAGUUCUGCGUUCGCAGCCGUUCCAUUGCGCGGGGCGUGGCUUCCUCCUCCUGGCAGACCGCAGGAUGAUAGAGCAAGUACCAUAUUUUGGCAUCUCAAUAAAGAUGCUAGAAGAAGACAAGGAGGCAGUAAGCGGGGCAAUAGAUUAUAUCAUCGGGUUUAAGACCAGACCGUCACUCAAGUUCAUCACCAAGCACUGUCGCGCCACCACCAGCAAUAUUAGGCGAGGUGUUGGAUGCAUGAUUCCUUGGUCGAAGUUCAUUGCUGACGACAGCCACUUCAUUGACGGCAAAGUCCAUCUGCGGGUUCAGGUGAAGGUAACGCCGCAGCCAUAG
RNAcentral lists this ribosomal RNA (1053 nucleotides) under Triticum aestivum (bread wheat). Its description in RNAcentral is "partial small subunit ribosomal RNA". Lineage: Eukaryota; Viridiplantae; Streptophyta; Magnoliopsida; Poales; Poaceae. The record is from RNAcentral.